This 404-nucleotide ribosomal RNA is filed under the name uncultured bacterium. RNAcentral's name for it is "bacterial SSU rRNA". It matches the Rfam family "Bacterial small subunit ribosomal RNA", at positions 28 to 433 of the family's 1533-position model. The record is from RNAcentral.
GAUGAACGCUAGCGGCAGGCCUAACACAUGCAAGUCGAGGGGCAGCACGUCUUCGGAUGGUGGCGACCGGCGCACGGGUGCGUAACGCGUAUGCAACCUACCUCUUACAGUGGGAUAGCCCAGAGAAAUUUGGAUUAAUACCGCAUAGUAUACAGAUUCAGCAUUGGGACUGUAUUAAACAUUUAUGGGUAAGAGAUGGGCAUGCGUUCUAUUAGUUAGUUGGAGUGGUAACGGCACCCAAGACAGCGAUAGAUAGGGCCCGUGAGAGGGGAGUCCCCACACUGGUACUGAGACACGGACCAGACUCCUACGGAGGCAGCAGUGAGGAAUAUUGGACAAUGGCGAGAGCCUGAUCCAGCCAUGCCGCGUGCAGGAAGACGGCCCCUUAUGGGUUGUAAAACUGC